UUUCCGUAGGUGAACCUGCGGAAGGAUCAUUGCACACACAAAGUUGCAGCAAACCCCCCUUGCGAAUUUUAUCAUUGUCCCCCCCCUUGGGGGGCUGGGGCGUUGCCGCUAUCCUACUUUCUACGAAAGUGGUGGUGGCGUCGUCCCGGCCUGCCAAACCCAAGUCCCUCAGGGCGGCUUGGGGCUCCCUCGGGGGCCCCUCGUCACCCGCCGGGUCUUGGUGUAACCAACCGAUUGCGCAAUGCAUCAACACCUCCAAAAUGACUGAGUAAAAAAAUCGGGACCCCGCCGCCGCCGCCGCCUUGGUGGUGGUGGUGGUGGUGGUCCCCGAGUUGUAAUAAACAAAAACAACUCUCAGCAACGGAUAUCUUGGCUCUU
This 378-nucleotide unclassified non-coding RNA is filed under the name soil metagenome. Its description in RNAcentral is "partial contains small subunit ribosomal RNA, internal transcribed spacer 1, and 5.8S ribosomal RNA". The record is from RNAcentral.